GCCUGGCUAGCUCAAUCGGUAGAGCGUGAGACUCUUAAAUCAUCUCAAGGUUGUGGGUUCGACCCCCACGUUAGGCU
This 77-nucleotide transfer RNA is filed under the name Rhizoctonia solani. Its description in RNAcentral is "tRNA-Lys". It matches the Rfam family "tRNA". Rfam says of the family: Transfer RNA (tRNA) molecules are approximately 80 nucleotides in length. Their secondary structure includes four short double-helical elements and three loops (D, anti-codon, and T loops). Further hydrogen bonds mediate the characteristic L-shaped molecular structure. tRNAs have two regions of fundamental functional importance: the anti-codon, which is responsible for specific mRNA codon recognition, and the 3' end, to which the tRNAs corresponding amino acid is attached (by aminoacyl-tRNA synthetases). tRNAs cope with the degeneracy of the genetic code in two manners: having more than one tRNA (with a specific anti-codon) for a particular amino acid; and 'wobble' base-pairing, i.e. permitting non-standard base-pairing at the 3rd anti-codon position. Lineage: Eukaryota; Fungi; Basidiomycota; Agaricomycetes; Cantharellales; Ceratobasidiaceae. The record is from RNAcentral.